GUGGGGAAUUUUGGACAAUGGGCGCAAGCCUGAUCCAGCAAUGCCGCGUGCAGGAAGAAGGCCUUCGGGUUGUAAACUGCUUUUGUACGGAACGAAAAGGCUCUGGUUAAUACCUGGGGCUCAUGACGGUACCGUAAGAAUAAGCACCGGCUAACUACGUGCCAGCAGCCGCGGUAAUACGUAGGGUGCAAGCGUUAAUCGGAAUUACUGGGCGUAAAGCGUGCGCAGGCGGUUUUGUAAGACAGACGUGAAAUCCCCGGGCUCAACCUGGGAAUGGCGUUUGUGACUGCAAAGCUGGAGUGCGGCAGAGGGGGAUGGAAUUCCGCGUGUAGCAGUGAAAUGCGUAGAUAUGCGGAGGAACACCGAUGGCGAAGGCAAUCCCCUGGGCCUGCACUGACGCUCAUGUACGAAAGCGUGGGGAGCAAACAGGAUUAGAUACCCUGGUAGUCC
Molecule: ribosomal RNA, 450 nt
Filed under: uncultured bacterium
Lineage: Bacteria
Description: partial 16S ribosomal RNA
Rfam family: Bacterial small subunit ribosomal RNA
Source: RNAcentral